This 465-nucleotide ribosomal RNA is filed under the name Vreelandella stevensii. Its description in RNAcentral is "partial 16S ribosomal RNA". It matches the Rfam family "Bacterial small subunit ribosomal RNA", at positions 338 to 795 of the family's 1533-position model. Lineage: Bacteria; Pseudomonadati; Pseudomonadota; Gammaproteobacteria; Oceanospirillales; Halomonadaceae. The record is from RNAcentral.
CCUACGGGUGGCUACAGUGGGGAAUAUUGGACAAUGGGCGAAAGCCUGAUCCAGCCAUGCCGCGUGUGUGAAGAAGGCCUUCGGGUUGUAAAGCACUUUCAGUGGGGAAGAAAGCCUUGGGGCUAAUACCCUCGAGGAAGGACAUCACCCACAGAAGAAGCACCGGCUAACUCCGUGCCAGCAGCCGCGGUAAUACGGAGGGUGCGAGCGUUAAUCGGAAUUACUGGGCGUAAAGCGCGCGUAGGCGGUCUGAUAAGCCGGUUGUGAAAGCCCCGGGCUCAACCUGGGAACGGCAUCCGGAACUGUCAGGCUAGAGUGCAGGAGAGGAAGGUAGAAUUCCCGGUGUAGCGGUGAAAUGCGUAGAGAUCGGGAGGAAUACCAGUGGCGAAGGCGGCCUUCUGGACUGACACUGACGCUGAGGUGCGAAAGCGUGGGUAGCAAACAGGAUUAGAUACCCUUGUAGUC